UGACGCGGCCUCCUAACCCUCUCUCCUGCU
RNAcentral lists this non-coding RNA (30 nucleotides) under Mus musculus (house mouse). Lineage: Eukaryota; Metazoa; Chordata; Mammalia; Rodentia; Muridae. The record is from RNAcentral.